CACAAAUGGCGCCCGAACAGGGACCGAAGACUGACUUCAUCCAGGGCUGUAGAGGCAGCGGUUAGCUGAACUGGUGGCGGAGCCCGGCUGAACAAAGAGCUGCUGAAAGGAAGCAGAAGGGGAGCCGCUGAAAGGAAUCGGCAUUGCGUGCAACAGGUUACCUACCGCUGGACGGAGGUGCCAUGGGUGUCCCCACAGCAAUGAUGUUGGAGUCUGGAGUUGGUGCGGCACAGGCAAUGAAGGCGAAUGUGGUGACCGAAGGAAGAUCAGAGAGGAUGUGGCUGCCAUUGAGGAUGCCUCUUGAGGACCAAUGGUGAUGCACAGCACUGCAAAAGCUAAG
Long non-coding RNA from Dromaius novaehollandiae (emu), 340 nucleotides. RefSeq lists it as uncharacterized. The transcript has 3 exons. NCBI's taxonomy places the organism in Eukaryota, Metazoa, Chordata, Aves, Casuariiformes, Dromaiidae. The record is from RefSeq and is a predicted model, not a curated record.